Molecule: small nucleolar RNA, 144 nt
Filed under: Otolemur garnettii (small-eared galago)
Lineage: Eukaryota; Metazoa; Chordata; Mammalia; Primates; Galagidae
Description: Small nucleolar RNA U13
Rfam family: Small nucleolar RNA U13
Source: Rfam by way of RNAcentral
AUCCUUUCACAGCUCAUAAGCGGGGCGAUUGGGUUUUCAUGCGCAUGCGUGCGCACACCCCUCCUCCCUCUCCUUCCCCCCUUCCCCCACCCUCCCCGACCCCGCCAAAUCUUGUUAUGACAUUGGCACAUUACCCAUCUGACA